This 5747-nucleotide long non-coding RNA is filed under the name Prunus persica (peach). RNAcentral's name for it is "long non-coding RNA (PPER_LNC005771)". The record is from RNAcentral. Lineage: Eukaryota; Viridiplantae; Streptophyta; Magnoliopsida; Rosales; Rosaceae.
UUUUGUAGUUGAAAACUAUGCCACAGUUGAUAACCAGCUUAGAACUCUUAAUCGAAAAUUUAAAAUUGAUUGGGCUCAUCUAAAUAGUCAUCUCAAAGCCCCUGAGAACCUGUCUAGACGAGAAAGUUACCACCAAGCCUUUCCUGAUAGUCAAAGCCGUCAAGAAAUCUUUAAAGAAUGGAAAGAUUACAUGCAGUCUGCCCAAGUUGAAAUUUUCUACCUUGAUUUUGUCGAAAGCCGUUAUAUGUCAAAUGAUGAGUUAAAAUCUUUGACUAAAGAAAAAUGGAAAAUGAUAGAUAAGUCUGUCGUUGAAUCCAGCCAUCCUCCAGUUGACACUAUAAUUAUUGAACACAAGAAUACUCCUAUACCUGCUACCCCUUUCAAAACCUUUGAAAGCAACGAUAGCAAUAGAAGAAUUCUUGAGCAAAAUAAUUAUACAAACCAAAGUCUAAUCGUCAUAGGAAAACUAUUAGACACGAUAGAAACAAAAAUUGACAAAAUCAGUUCCCCAAAAGCAAAGGAAAGAUAAAAAUGCAUUUGACUAUCAGAGUUCAAGCAACUUCAUUGGUGCGAAAAGCAACUUCACACUUACACUCAGUAUUUACAAGGGUAUUUACAAGGAUGAUUUUCUCCAAAGGAUGUUUCAGAGAGAAUCUUUUAAAACUGAAUAUGAAAUGCAGCUGGAAAACCAUUUCUGCCUACAACUGAGGCCGAAGCCUGAAUUUAAAGACAAAUGCAACUAUGGUUUACAUAACUGGGAUAAAAAGUAACUGAGGUUAAGCAACUGUAGGGGCACGGGCAUGCCAUUUGAUUCAACUUUCAAUUUUGUCGAUUUGUGGGGAAUCUUUGCUUUCGGCUACUUUCGGCGAUUUGAUUGAGGCAAACAGUGCUUUGUCUGCUGCUCUCAUGAGAUUCGGCGACUGCUUUUGACGAGGCGUGCUGUCGGCAACUUCUUUUGACUGGGUCAAUUAUGAUUGAGAGGUGUCCCUAAUCAGACCCUAGGUCAUAGGCGUCAUAGGGAUCCUGGCUGUCAUCAUACCAAGUUUUCGACUUGGCAGGACUCCGCAUGGGCUGGCAACUAGACGACGAGGGAGAAUUAUUGUCCUCAUCAUCAUCCAUUUGAGAGGCCUGAAUAAUCAACUGGCGAGCAAUUUCCUGUAGUUCGGCUUUGGAUUUUCCUUCAACUGAUAAGGAAGAUCGAACUGAACCAGUAGGAGAUGCUGGUCGCGGAAUAGGCUCUCGAGGAAGAUCAUUGUAGACAUAUUUGGCAAUUCGGUCAACUUCAAAUUUAUCCCACCAUUUGACAGAGAAUUGGCGGGCAAAUACUCGGACAUCCUUGGUGAUUCUGUAGGACCAUUUGAGAAUCCAAGGGACCUUGUAUCUGGCAAUGAAAAGCAACUGUUUUGGAAAGAACAGAUCAACUUGGGAGAACUUGGCAUGCUUAGUGUAGUGGCGGAUCAACUCAUGAACUGAAACAGGCAGAAUUUCUUCAACUGGGCCAUGUUUUUCCCACCAAUGGAGGAACCAGUAUGGGAAAGAACAUUUGAACUUGUUAUCAAAAUUAAUAUUUUAUGGAUUCCACUUGGGCAUCAGAUAGUCAAAUGCAUUUACAUUUGAAAUGCAUUCCAUCACUUGGGCAUCAGACACUUCCCUGUCUUGGUAUUCCAUCAGUUGAUUCCUUCAAAAUAGUUGAAACUGAUGCCUCUGACAUUGGUUACGGUGGCAUUCUUAAACAAAAAGUCAGUCCAAAAUCUCCAGAACAAAUUGUUCGUUUCCAUUCUGGAACUUGGACACAGUCGCAGUAUAAUUAUAGUACCAUUAAAAAAGAAAUAUUAGCUAUUGUAUUAUGUAUUAGCAAAUUUCAAGAUGAUUUACUUAAUCAAAAGUUUUUAAUCCGAGUUGAUUGUAAGUCUGCAAAACAUGUUUUAGAAAAAGAUGUUCAAAACAUUGCAUCUAAACAGAUUUUUGCACGAUGGCAAAGUAUUUUAAGCAUAUUUGAUUUUGAUAUUGAAUACUUAAAAGGAAGUGAAAAUUCUGUCCCUGAUUUUCUCACUCGAGAAUUCUUGCAGGAUGCACAAUGGCCCCCAAAAAAGACAAACAGAAAGAAUCAGCCAGUCAAUCUAAGCCAUCCCAGUCGCCCAAGUCAUCCCAGUCGCCCAAAAUCCUCCCUUCUUCCAUGAGUCAGUCAAAACCAUAAUUGCCCAAACAGAUAGUUCCCUAUCCUGGUUGCCCUCCUAUCUCAGUUGCCACACCAAUUUCAGUGGCUAAAUCGAUUUUCUUCCCUUGGUUCAACAGUUGGUCAAAUUCGCCCUAGUUAUCAAUCCACCCUAGUUUCCAGUUAUGAUCCUUUCUCAGUUGAUACUCCUGCAGGCCCCUCAAUUCCUUACAAAAAAUCUUCCCCUUAUUUGCUCAAGAGUAAUUCCCAUUUAUUUUUCAUUGAGCCUCUGUAUGAUAUCCAUACAGAUCCCAUAGAAAUUGCCAAACAUUACUUCCCUCCUGGAUUCCACUAUAUGCCUCCAAGCCCUUAUAAGUCUCUCAAGUAUUAUAGAGAUAUAUUACUUGAAACACAGUCAGUUGAAAUUAAACCGAUAAAGGAUCGGGAUCAUCCUGAAACCAUUCUUUAUCAUUCCUUAUAUAUUCACAAAAUUCUAAGCCAAGAAUCCUUCAGUAGCCGUCCCUAUGAGUUAAAAGUUCUUAAAUCAAAAUUACAAUAUAAUUAUUUUGAUUAUAUUGAAGCAUGGUAUACUAUUUUCCUUCACCAAUCUGAAGAUUUUAGUCAUUCCUGGUUUAUUAAUUUUGAUAACAAGUUCAAAUGUUCUUUCCCAUACUGGUUCCUCCAUUGGUGGGAAAAACAUGGCCCAGUUGAAGAAAUUCUGCCUGUUUCAGUUCAUGAGUUGAUCCGCCACUACACUAAGCAUGCCAAGUUCUCCCAAGUUGAUCUGUUCUUUCCAAAACAGUUGCUUUUCAUUGCCAGAUACAAGGUCCCUUGGAUUCUCAAAUGGUCCUACAGAAUCACCAAGGAUGUCCGAGUAUUUGCCCGCCAAUUCUCUGUCAAAUGGUGGGAUAAAUUUGAAGUUGACCGAAUUGCCAAAUAUGUCUACAAUGAUUUUCCUCGAGAGCCUAUUCCGCGACUAGCAUCUCCUACUGGUUCAGUUCGAUCUUCCUUAUCAGUUGAAGGAAAAUCCAAAGCCGAACUACAGGAAAUUGCUCGCCAGUUGAUUAUUCAGGCCUCUCAAAUGGAUGAUGAUGAGGACAAUGAUUCUCCCUCGUCGUCUAGUUGCCAGCCCAUGCGGAGUCCUGCCGAGCCGAAAACUUGGUAUGAUGACAGCCAGGAUCCCUAUGAUGCCUAUGACCUAGGGUCUGAUUAGGGACACCUCUCAAUCAUAAUUGACCCAGUCAAAAGAAGUUGCCGACAGCACGCCUCGUCAAAAGCAGUCGCCGAAUCUCAUGAGAGCAGCAGACAAAGCACUGUUUGCCUCAAUCAAAUCGCCGAAGGCAAAGAUUCCCCACAAAUCGACAAAAUUGAAAGUUGAAUCAAAUGGCAUGCCCGUGCCCCUACAGUUGCUUAACCUCAGUUACUUUUUAUCCCAGUUAUGUAAACCAUAGUUGCAUUUGUCUUUAAAUUCAGGCUUCGGCCUCAGUUGUAGGCAGAACUGGUUUUCCAGCUGCAUUUCAUAUUCAGUUUUAGAACUCUUAAUCGAAAAUUUAAAAUUGAUUGGGCUCAUCUAAACAGUCAUCUCAAAGCCCCUGAGAACCUGUCUAGACGAGAAAGUUACCACCAAGCCUUUCCUGAUAGUCAAAGCCGUCAAGAAAUCUUUAAAGAAUGGAAAGAUUACAUGCGGUCUGCCCAAGUUGAAAUUUUCUACCUUGAUUUUGUUGAAAGUCGUUAUAUGUCAAAUGAUGAGUUAAAAACUUUGACUAAAGAAAAAUGGAAAAUGAUAGAUAAGUCUGUCGUUGAAUCCAGCCAUCCUCCAGUUGACACUAUAAUUAUUGAACACAAGAAUACUCCUAUACCUGCUACCCCUUUCAAAACCUUUGAAAGCAGCGAUAGCAAUAGAAGAAUUCUUGAGCAAAAUAAUUAUACAAACCAAAGUCUAAUCGUCAUAGGAAAACAGUUAGACACGAUAGAAACAAAAAUUGACAAAAUCAGUUCCCCAGAAGCAAAGUCAAAAACCAAAGUUGAAAAACCAAUUGUCCAGUUCCAAGAUCUUAGGUCAAGCCCGACACUUAAGAUCACACCCACAAUGAAGAAAAUAGAAGAAAUGUUAGAACAGUUGACCCCAGUCAAAGUAGAGAAAAUUGAGAAAUCUGGUCUUAAAACACUAGAUUCUUUUGCAGUUGAAGACCCUUCUGAGUCUGAUACGACAGAGUCUGAAAUUAGUAAUAUUUCUAAAAUUGAAAAAGCCUUUCAAAAUUUAGAAAUCCAAGUUGAACCCAAAAUUAAAAAAUUAGAAAAGUUUGUCAGCCCCACUAGUCUGACCAAAAAUUGGUAUCCCAGGCCAACACCUCCAGACAUCCAAUUUGAAGAAACUUCCAAACCCAGUUCUCGGUUUCUUCUGAUAAAUUGUAUGAAUGGAAUAUUGAUGGUCUCUCUGAGCAAGAAAUCCUAAAUAAGCUACAACAUAUGUCUAUGGUUGCCAAUAGUUAUAUCACCAAUCAUAGUUUCAGACAGUCUGAAAUUGUUCCUCUGUUAGUCACCGGUUUCACAGGUACUCUCAGAUAUUUGUGGGAUAAACACCUAACCCCUGAGUCCAAAAGCCGAAUUACUUUUGCCAUAAGACAGGAUGAAGAUGGUCUCCCUAUAUUGGUUUUAGAACUGUUGACUUACAGGAAUUUGUUCUAAGAAAACGACUCAUGGCUACUCAAGUGUUUGGAUUUUGCAGACUGAGGAAGAAGAUAAACAAGGACUUCCUGGACUUACCGUUUAUCCUACAAGAAACCUAUUAACCUUUCUCAAUUUUCUGUCUCCUGCCCACCACACACGCCCUACCCUCGGGACUUACUGAUCUAGGAAAAAGGACUCACGGGUCAGACCUUAGAGAAAGAUGAACAGACAACUCAGAGAAUAAAAGGGAGGAAAAGGAAGAAGAUGAAACCUUCUACUCAGAAGCUUAAACCAGCCACUUGGGCGGGAAUGAGUAGCAGACUUAGACAAUGACCGUAACUCUUACGGCUCUGAUACCAACAAAGGAACAGGGAGAUAGAAUGAAGAAUAGAGGAAGAAGAAGAAGAAAGCAAAGCAGAUAAAACAACGAUAAACAAAUGCAGAAGGAAAUAGGAUGCAGCAACUUAACUCAGCAUUCAGACUAAUGCAGGAAAAUAAUGCAUAUAUGAAAUUAAUAAAAAUAGAGAUAAUUUAAAAUAGCAAUUUUAUUUAUACUCACAAAGGAGAGCAACUGCAACUUCAAACUUCACACUUACACUCAGUAUUUACAAGGGUAUUUACAAGGAUGAUUUUCUCCAAAGGAUGUUUCAGAGAGAAUCUUUUAAAACUGAAUAUGAAAUGCAGCUGGAAAACCAGUUCUGCCUACAACUGAAGCCGAAGCCUGAAUUUAAAGACAAAUGCAACUAUGGUUUACAUAACUGGGAUAAAAAAUAACUGAGGUUAAGCAACUGUAGGGGCACGGGCAUGCCAUUUGAUUCAACUUUCAAUUUUGUCGAUUUGUGGGGAAUCUUUGCUUUCGGCUACUUUCUGCGAUUUGAUUGAGGCAAACAGUGCUUUGUCUGCUACUCUCAUGAGAUUCGGG